ACUUUUUAAUGGAAACAACUUGACC
RNAcentral lists this non-coding RNA (25 nucleotides) under Cricetulus griseus (Chinese hamster). Lineage: Eukaryota; Metazoa; Chordata; Mammalia; Rodentia; Cricetidae. The record is from RNAcentral.